GACGAACGCUGGCGGCGUGCUUAACACAUGCAAGUCGAACGGAAAGGCCUCUUUCGGGGGGUACUCGAGUGGCGAACGGGUGAGUAACACGUGAGUAACCUGCCCUUGACUUUGGGAUAACUUCAGGAAACUGGGGCUAAUACCGGAUAGGAGCUCCUGCUGCAUGGUGGGGGUUGGAAAGUUUCGGCGGUUGGGGAUGGACUCGCGGCUUAUCAGCUUGUUGGUGGGGUAGUGGCUUACCAAGGCUUUGACGGGUAGCCGGCCUGAGAGGGUGACCGGCCACAUUGGGACUGAGAUAGGGCCCAGACUCCUACGGGGGGCAGCAGUGGGGAAUAUUGCACAAUGGGUGGAAGCCUGAGGCAGCCACGCCGUGUGCGGGAUGACGGCCUUCGGGUUGUAAACCGCUUUCGCUCAUGACGAAGCUUUGUGUGACGGUAGUUGGGAAAGAAGCACCGGCUAACUACGG
RNAcentral lists this ribosomal RNA (466 nucleotides) under uncultured bacterium. Its description in RNAcentral is "partial 16S ribosomal RNA". It matches the Rfam family "Bacterial small subunit ribosomal RNA", at positions 28 to 506 of the family's 1533-position model. The record is from RNAcentral.